AACGCGAAGAACCUUACCUGGGCUCGAAAUGUACAGGAAUGCGGUAGAAAUAUCGCCGUCCAGCAAUGGACCUGUAUAUAGGUGCUGCAUGGCUGUCGUCAGCUCGUGUCGUGAGAUGUUGGGUUAAGUCCCGCAACGAGCGCAACCCUUAUCCCUAGUUGCCAUCGGGUCAAGCCGGGCACUCUAGUGAAACCGCCCAGGAUAACUGGGAGGAAGGUGGGGAUGACGUCAAGUCCUCAUGGCCUUUAUGUCCAGGGCUACACACGUGCUACAAUGGUCGGUACAAACCGUCGCAAACCCGCGAGGGGGAGCUAAUCGGAAAAAGCCGGCCUCAGUUCGGAUUGGAGUCUGCAACCCGACUCCAUGAAGCUGGAAUCGCUAGUAAUCGCGGAUCAGAACGCCGCGGUGAAUACGUUCCCGGGCCUUGUACAACCGACUGUAC
This 442-nucleotide ribosomal RNA is filed under the name uncultured bacterium. RNAcentral describes it as "bacterial SSU rRNA". It matches the Rfam family "Bacterial small subunit ribosomal RNA", at positions 958 to 1387 of the family's 1533-position model. The record is from RNAcentral.